GGGUGCUCAAGUAUAAGAAGCUCAAGGGAAACAAAAAGACAUUGACCAUACCUAUUUUCCCAGGCUCCACUUUCAGGUUGAAAUCCCAGUUCCUCGGCAACUUCAGGGACAUUUUGCUCCCGCUUCAGUAGUCCCUGCAUGAUCUUCAGAGAAGAUUUCAAUAAGCAUAAAGAACACAAAAAUCGGGACGCCUGGGUGGCUCAGUCGGUUAAGCAUCUGCCUUCAGCUCAGGUGGUGGUUGGUACUGUCAUCCUCAUCAUCAUUACCACCGUGGCUGUUGUUUUCUGCAAGGAUUCGUAACAAUGCCUGGAGAGGACAGAAGAACAAUACACUAGCUGCCUCACGGAUCAGCAUCAGAGAAACGGAUGGCAGGGAAAGGGAGUUCAGUUUUCUGGAUUCUCCACAGCUGGAGCGUCUGAGUAGACUCCAGGAGAGUCACAACGCGAGUGCCCACUUUCGUCAGGAGGUCUCUGUUCAUGAGACAAAGCCAGGGGGGUUUCUCUGGGCUGGGCUCCUUGUGCGCCCUGACGAUCCCCUGUGAUCCAUAAGUUUCUCCUUACCAAGAGCAAAGAGGAACUUUGUUGCUAGUGCCACCUACACAUGUUGCUGAUGCUGUUUUUAACAGAACUAAUUGUAUAUUGGGGGAGGGACAUGAGCGAAGAUGAAUCUUGAGCCUCUUGGAGCUUGAAUCUUGAGCCUCUUGGAGCUUAAGCAGAAGGGACUUUCCAUUUUACUAUUUAACCAAAAAAACUCUUGGCGUAUAAAGAGGUGGCUGAGGAUUGGGCUCCAUCACACCUGUCUCCCACUGUCCUUGAAGAGUUGCUUGGUGCAAUUUUAAGACCUUGACCAUGGUGGCGGUUCCGUGAAUCGAAUGUCUUUGUUUUUCAGUGCUGAGUGUGCCGUGGGGGAAGAGGUUGAAAGCAAUGGGAAAGGCCUGCUCUGAUCAGGCAGCUGAGUGCAUGGUCCGUAGAGAAUUUUAAAAGUAUAACAAAACUAAAAGCCACCUACUUAAAAAUUCGUCACCAUGCGUAGUAAUUCUAAAUAACGUCUGUGCUAAAUACUCCUUCCCUCAGUUGGACCAUUUCCAACCCCUACCCCCGUGGUAGGUCCCCACAGCCCCUGCUGAUGAUAAUCCCACCUCCUCCCCAGGGGAUUCUCUCCUUGCCGUGGAACCUGCCAGUGUGGUGUAUUUUGAUUGAUUACACCACCCACCUGCAAAAUCCACACCAUCCCACUCCUUCCUACCCCAGCUUCUCAAGGAUUUGAACUCCUAUCCAAGCCCCUACCCCACUUUCCCCACUGGUAGUCUAAGAAACCCCCUCUUCCUUCCACGAGCCUUGAAUCUGAAUUAGAUGGCUCGGUCAGAAAGCCUGCGGGACACUGUGCUAAAAAGAAAUGCACUUGUGAUGAGCACUGGGUAUUGUAUAGAAGUGUUGAAUCACUAAAUUGUACAUCUGAAACUAACAUGACACCGUAUGGUAACUAACUGGAAUGUAAAUAAAAACUUGAAAAAAUAAAUCAAAAUAAAAAUAAAUGCCUUAAAAAACUGCAUCUUAA
Long non-coding RNA from Zalophus californianus (California sea lion), 1557 nucleotides. RefSeq lists it as uncharacterized. NCBI's taxonomy places the organism in Eukaryota, Metazoa, Chordata, Mammalia, Carnivora, Otariidae. The transcript has 3 exons. The record is from RefSeq and is a predicted model, not a curated record.